This 497-nucleotide ribosomal RNA is filed under the name uncultured bacterium. RNAcentral describes it as "partial 16S ribosomal RNA". It matches the Rfam family "Bacterial small subunit ribosomal RNA", at positions 28 to 507 of the family's 1533-position model. The record is from RNAcentral.
GAUGAACGCUGGCGGCGUGCCUAAUACAUGCAAGUCGAGCGAACGGACGAGAAGCUUGCUUCUCUGAUGUUAGCGGCGGACGGGUGAGUAACACGUGGAUAACCUACCUAUAAGACUGGGAUAACUUCGGGAAACCGGGGCUAAUACCGGAUAAUAUUUUGAACCGCAUGGUUCAAUAGUGAAAGACGGUCUUGCUGUCACUUAUAGAUGGAUCCGCGCUGCAUUAGCUAGUUGGUAAGGUAACGGCUUACCAAGGCAACGAUGCAUAGCCGACCUGAGAGGGUGAUCGGCCACACUGGAACUGAGACACGGUCCAGACUCCUACGGGAGGCAGCAGUAGGGAAUCUUCCGCAAUGGGCGAAAGCCUGACGGAGCAACGCCGCGUGAGUGAUGAAGGUCUUCGGAUCGUAAAACUCUGUUAUUAGGGAAGAACAUAUGUGUAAGUAACUGUGCACAUCUUGACGGUACCUAAUCAGAAAGCCACGGCUAACUACGUG